GCUUCUUCUCUCCUCAAGUUAGAUGUGAAGAGAGUUCAGGUGUGUGUUCUACCAUGGAUCAGUGUGAGAACAGAGAGGAGGGAGUCCCUCCCUCUCAAAGGGCUCGCUAUGGGGAACAUGAGAACCAGACCAAAGCUCAGAGUUCACAUAAUGAAGUUGAACCCAGUUAUGUGUCCCCGAAGAGUGACUGCUCCAAGGACGACGUAAUGAAUUUCAGAACACACCGUGUGUCCCUGAAGAGUGACUGGUCCAGAGUGCAACCCAUUUCAUUUCAACCUGGAGCAGGAAGUGCUGAUGAGGGCGUCAGCCAGCAGAGCUCCCAGGUUCUCCGUGGAGGCUCCGCCCCUCAGC
Long non-coding RNA from Salarias fasciatus (jewelled blenny), 351 nucleotides. RefSeq lists it as uncharacterized. The record is from RefSeq and is a predicted model, not a curated record. The transcript is spliced from 5 exons. NCBI's taxonomy places the organism in Eukaryota, Metazoa, Chordata, Actinopteri, Blenniiformes, Blenniidae.